UACGUAGGGGGGCGAGCGUUUGUCCGGAAUUAUUGGGCGUAAAGGGUGUGUAGGCGGCUUUGCAAGUCAGAUGUGAAAUGCCACGGCUUAACCGUGGGACUGCAUUUGAAACUGCAGGGCUUGAGUUCGGAAGAGGAAAACGGAAUUCCUAGUGUAGCGGUGAAAUGCGUAGAUAUUAGGAGGAACACCGGUGGCGAAGGCGGUUUUCUGGGCCGACACUGACGCUGAGGCACGAAAGCGUGGGGAGCGAACAGG
RNAcentral lists this ribosomal RNA (255 nucleotides) under uncultured bacterium. RNAcentral describes it as "partial 16S ribosomal RNA". It matches the Rfam family "Bacterial small subunit ribosomal RNA", at positions 524 to 776 of the family's 1533-position model. The record is from RNAcentral.